AUACUUAGCUGGCAGGGGAGUACCAUGAACAAGAAGGUGGUUCACCGGGCGAGGCUAACCAUUGCACUCCGUUAUGCUGACCCCUGCGCGAAUUCCCCAAAUGUGGGAAUCUCGACUGCAAUAAUUUUGGUAGUGGGGGACUGCGUUCACGUCUGCCCCGA
Molecule: small nuclear RNA, 161 nt
Organism: Etheostoma spectabile (orangethroat darter)
Lineage: Eukaryota; Metazoa; Chordata; Actinopteri; Perciformes; Percidae
Product: U1 spliceosomal RNA
Exons: 1
Source: RefSeq, a predicted model, not a curated record